GAGAGAAUCGGUCAUCACCAGUGUUUAUGGUGAGGCCGUGACGAGAGGAACUACCCGUACGUAAACAUUGCUGGUCAUCGUGAGUAAAGUUCCUCCUUCCCUGUGGCGUACAACCCAGUAGUGCAGUGGUGGAUUUAGCCAGGGAGUCCGAGAGUCACGUCGACGUCCUCGACGUCGUCGCCGCCUUCGCCGCCGUCGGAAAAUAGAUCGGGAACGUCUUCGGAGAAGCAGGUCGGCGGGGCUUAAGUGUGAGAGAAAUAACAACGUCGUCGGAGGAAGGAAGGAAGGUGUUAUAGAGUAGAAAGUUCGUUCGGGGCUUUACAACCAAGUCUGCCGAAGGGACAUCCUCCCUCGCUCUCUCUCUCUCUCUCUCCUUAUCUGUAUUCUUCUCCCCCUGAAGGAGGAAGAGGAGGAGAAGACGAAGGACACGGCCUGCUGUUUAUAUUUCCCCGCAGGAAUAUAUCUUGAACAGCAGAAGGAGGACCUCCCUGCCGCUGCUGCUACAGCAGCAGUAGGACUUCUCGGAAGAAUAUACCCCGACCGCCUCAACGCUUAGUCAGGUAAGCUACACAUAUCUGCAAGGAUUAAAAUUGAACAGUCUACCGACGGAGAGAUCGGUGAGAAUUUGCCCAAGUAAGGAGCUGGUUGAUUUCUAUGCAUAGGCCUAUAUAGGUACGUGAUACAUAAAUCAGAACUUCAGGGUGGAUUCAGAGAAGCGAUUCGUGUUUUUUAAAG
Molecule: long non-coding RNA, 735 nt
Organism: Macrobrachium nipponense
Lineage: Eukaryota; Metazoa; Arthropoda; Malacostraca; Decapoda; Palaemonidae
Exons: 4
Source: RefSeq, a predicted model, not a curated record